AGAGUUUGAUCAUGGCUCAGAUUGAACGCUGGCGGUAGGCUUAACACAUGCAAGUCGUGCGAGAAAGUAUCUUCGGAUAUGAGUAGAGCGGCGGACGGGUGAGUAACGCGUAGGAAUCUACCUAGUAGAAGGGGAUAGCCCGGGGAAACUCGGAUUAAUACCGUAUACCUCCUUAGGGAGAAAGAAGGCCUCUCAUUGAAGCUUUCGCUAUUAGAUGAGCCUGCGUAAGAUUAGCUUGUUGGUGAGGUAAAGGCUCACCAAGGCGACGAUCUUUAGCGGGUCUGAGAGGACGAUCCGCCACAUUGGGACUGAGACACGGCCCAGACUCCUACGGGAGGCAGCAGUGGGGAAUAUUGGACAAUGGGCGCAAGCCUGAUCCAGCCAUACCGCGUGUGUGAAGAAGGCCCUAGGGUUGUAAAGCACUUUAAGUUGGGAAGAAAAGUUAUUGGUUAAUACCCAAUAGCCGUGACAUUACCAUCAGAAUAAGGACCGGCUAAUUCCGUGCCAGCAGCCGCGGUAAUACGGAAGGUCCAAGCGUUAAUCGGAAUUACUGGGCGUAAAGCGCGCGUAGGUGGUUUAUUAAGUUGGAUGUGAAAUCCCCGGGCUCAACCUGGGAACUGCAUCCAAAACUGAUUCACUAGAGUACGAUAGAGGGAGGUAGAAUUCACAGUGUAGCGGUGGAAUGCGUAGAUAUUGUGAAGAAU
This 704-nucleotide ribosomal RNA is filed under the name uncultured bacterium. Its description in RNAcentral is "bacterial SSU rRNA". It matches the Rfam family "Bacterial small subunit ribosomal RNA", at positions 8 to 707 of the family's 1533-position model. The record is from RNAcentral.